RNAcentral lists this ribosomal RNA (492 nucleotides) under uncultured bacterium. RNAcentral's name for it is "partial 16S ribosomal RNA". It matches the Rfam family "Bacterial small subunit ribosomal RNA", at positions 29 to 507 of the family's 1533-position model. The record is from RNAcentral.
AGUGAACGCUGGCGGUAGACCUAACACAUGCAAGUCGAACGGCAGCACAGUAAGAGCUUGCUCUUACGGGUGGCGAGUGGCGGACGGGUGAGGAAUACAUCGGAAUCUACUUUUUCGUGGGGGAUAACGUAGGGAAACUUACGCUAAUACCGCAUACGACCUACGGGUGAAAGCAGGGGAUCUUCGGACCUUGCGCGAUUGAAUGAGCCGAUGUCGGAUUAGCUAGUUGGCGGGGUAAAGGCCCACCAAGGCGACGAUCCGUAGCUGGUCUGAGAGGAUGAUCGGCCACACUGGAACUGAGCCACGGUCCAGACUCCUACGGGAGGCAGCAGUGGGGAAUAUUGGACAAUGGGCGCAAGCCUGAUCCAGCCAUACCGCGUGGGUGAAGAGGGCCUUCGGGUUGUAAAGCCCUUUUGUUGGGAAAGAAAAGCAGCAGGUUAAUACCCCGCUGUUCUGACGGUACCCAAAGAAUAAGCACCGGCUAACUUCGUG